Rostrohypoxylon terebratum is the source of this 139-nucleotide non-coding RNA. The record is from the annotation of a GenBank genome assembly. Lineage: Eukaryota; Fungi; Ascomycota; Sordariomycetes; Xylariales; Hypoxylaceae.
GGGCACGUGGUCUAGGGGUAUGACGUCUGCUUCGCACUGAUCUUGGUAUAGAAAUGACCUAUAACUCAUAGUAAUCAUCUUGAAUACUGAUCACACAGUGGUAUGCUGAAGGUCCGGGGUUCAAUUCCCCGCGUGUCCA